Molecule: ribosomal RNA, 460 nt
Filed under: uncultured soil bacterium
Lineage: Bacteria
Description: bacterial SSU rRNA
Rfam family: Bacterial small subunit ribosomal RNA
Source: RNAcentral
UCGAACGGCAGCGCGGGGCAACCUGGCGGCGAGUGGCGAACGGGUGAGUAAUAUAUCGGAACGUACCCUGGAGUGGGGGAUAACGUAGCGAAAGUUACGCUAAUACCGCAUACGAUCUAAGGAUGAAAGUGGGGGAUCGCAAGACCUCAUGCUCCUGGAGCGGCCGAUAUCUGAUUAGCUAGUUGGUGGGGUAAAGGCCCACCAAGGCUUCGAUCAGUAGCUGGUCUGAGAGGACGACCAGCCACACUGGAACUGAGACACGGUCCAGACUCCUACGGGAGGCAGCAGUGGGGAAUUUUGGACAAUGGGCGCAAGCCUGAUCCAGCAAUGCCGCGUGAGUGAAGAAGGCCUUCGGGUUGUAAAGCUCUUUUGUCAGGGAAGAAACGGUGAGAGCUAAUAUCUCUUGCUAAUGACGGUACCUGAAGAAUAAGCACCGGCUAACUACGUGCCAGCAGCCGCG